CGCCAUCUCCGCCAUCUCCAAGACCUCUCUCUCUCUGUCUCUUCACUUCAGUCUCAGCCUAAUUCAUCGAUCUGAACCUUCAGCUAGCUUACUCGAUCUGGGCAGGACUGGAGUCUCACCGAUUCUCACCGAUCCGCCGCUUCUGAGCUCUUCACCCAGGGAUCCUUCGACAGGGACAAGUGUUGAAGCCAAUUAAUGGAUGACUACAUUGUUGGGGAACUGCUGGAUGCCUGGAUUGAAGACUGGAAGAAUGGCUACUAAGUUGCUGUAUUUGAAUUAGGACUUUCUAAUUUCUAUUUCAUUGCAUAUUUGUACUUGAAUUUGGACUUCAUAUUUAAAUUUGGACACUUUGUAUUUCAAUUGUAGCUUUAAUUGUUCUUGAAGAGUACUUGAAUUUGGAUAUUAUGUAUUCUGGAUAUUCGAAUUUGCAGCUUGAACUUUGGAUUU
Rosa chinensis is the source of this 447-nucleotide long non-coding RNA. RefSeq lists it as uncharacterized. The transcript is spliced from 3 exons. The record is from RefSeq and is a predicted model, not a curated record. NCBI's taxonomy places the organism in Eukaryota, Viridiplantae, Streptophyta, Magnoliopsida, Rosales, Rosaceae.